UGUUAAGAGUGAAACAUGUUGGACCCUAUGUGUUUUGAAGUAGACCAACCGUUAUCUCAUCUUGAAUGAUCUUGGUGAGUUCAUUUGAUCUCAUGGUGACUGACCUCGAGGUCGAGGUCAUGGAAAGUCGACCCAAGGUUCUAACACCACCGUGGUUAGGAGCGAUAUUCACAGCUCGAGCAUCUGCCAUGAAAUUGACCUCAAGUGUUAGCAUUGGGAUGUGGAUUUUGUUGACUUAACAAUUGAGUAAGAGUAGCUACUUGUUGGCGGAGCUCUUCGAAUACUCCUGGAAUGACAACUACAAGUUCGGGUGGUGGUACCUUCGGCAGCACCACUGGAGGGAUUAAAGGAUCCUCGGAAGGAGCUGAAGUGAAGUCGUUGAACUUGCUGGAUGAGGCCCUGAACGUUUAUAUCGUUUUCCAUUGAUGACGCCAAUGAUGCUACAAAAUAUUUGCACCUAUAAAAUCUCGUGUUUGAAGACCAAGAAUGAGCACGAGAAGGAUCUCCAAUACCUAAAAAAAACGUUGAGAUGUAUUCUUGUCACCCCUCCAGCACUUAGGUUAGCGAUAAGGGAAUUCAUG
RNAcentral lists this long non-coding RNA (581 nucleotides) under Olea europaea subsp. europaea. The record is from RNAcentral. Lineage: Eukaryota; Viridiplantae; Streptophyta; Magnoliopsida; Lamiales; Oleaceae.